GGCUGUCUGGUCUGUAACUGACGCUGAGGCUCGAAAGUAUGGGUAGCAAACAGGAUUAGAUACCCUGGUAGUCCAUACCGUAAACGAUGAAUGCUAAGUGUUGGAGGGUUUCCGCCCUUCAGUGCUGCAGCUAACGCAUUAAGCUAAUUCCGCCUGGGGAGUACGGCCGCAAGGCUGAAACUCAAAGGAAUUGACGGGGGCCCGCACAAGCGGUGGAGCAUGUGGUUUAAUUCGAAGCUACGCGAAGAACGGCUUACCAGGUCUUGACAUACUAUGCAAAUCUAAGAGAUUAGACGUUCCCUUCGGGGACAUGGAUACAGGUGGUGCUCCUAUGGUUGUCGUCAGCUCGUGUCGUGAGAUGUUGGGUUAAGUCCCGCAACGAGCGCAACCCUUAUUAUCAGUUGCCAGCAUUAAGUUGUGGCACUCUGGUGAGACUGCCGGUGACAAACCGGAGGAACUGUUCAGGUGGGGAUGACGUCAAAUCAUCAUGCCCCUUAUGACCUGGGCUACACACGUGCUACAAUGGAUAGGUACAACGAGUUGUCCGAACUCGCUGAGAGUAAGCUAAUCUCUUAAAGCCAUUCUCAGUUCGGAUUGUAGGCCUGCAACUCGCCUACAUGAAGUCGGAAUCGCUAGUAAUCGCGGAUCAGCAUGCCGCGGUGAAUACGUUCCCGGGCCUUGUACACACCGCCCGUCACACGCAUGAGAGUUUGUAACACCCAAAGUCGGUGGGGUAACCUGUAGGAACC
RNAcentral lists this ribosomal RNA (749 nucleotides) under Lactiplantibacillus plantarum. Its description in RNAcentral is "bacterial SSU rRNA". It matches the Rfam family "Bacterial small subunit ribosomal RNA", at positions 723 to 1450 of the family's 1533-position model. The record is from RNAcentral. Lineage: Bacteria; Bacillati; Bacillota; Bacilli; Lactobacillales; Lactobacillaceae.